RNAcentral lists this ribosomal RNA (261 nucleotides) under uncultured bacterium. Its description in RNAcentral is "partial 16S ribosomal RNA". It matches the Rfam family "Bacterial small subunit ribosomal RNA", at positions 524 to 784 of the family's 1533-position model. The record is from RNAcentral.
UACGUAGGGUGCAAGCGUUAAUCGGAAUUACUGGGCGUAAAGCGUGCGCAGGCGGUUUUGUAAGCCAGAUGUGAAAGCCCCGGGCUCAACCUGGGAACUGCGUUUGGAACUACAAGACUAGAGUGUGUCAGAGGGGGGUGGAAUUCCGCGUGUAGCAGUGAAAUGCGUAGAUAUCGGAAGGAACAUCAGUGGCGAAGGCGACCGCCUGGCCUAAGACUGACACUGAGGCACGAAAGCGUGGGGAGCAAACAGGAUUAGAAA